CAUAAUAUUUCAUGUUUUAGAAUGGGCUGAAAUAGUGGAGGCUUCGAAAAAUAUUAUUAAAUAUGGUGUGCCUUUUCCAAGUAAACAACAAAGAAAAGAGUUGGCGAAGAAGAAAGAUAUUGACGAUAUUAAUUCUGAUUCUAAGAAACUUUUAAAACCAUUAGGGGAAAAAAAAAGAUUGGCACAGAACAAGAGAGACGACAAACACUUUGUAACAGUAAAAACUGUAAGAGAUAAAGAAUUCAAAUUAAAAGAUGAUGACUUUUUCGAUAGUAUUGGGUCCUCGCUUUAAAAAAAAAAAGGGUAUCAAUAUGAUAGCAAAGACUGCUGAUGUAGAAAUAAUACAGCAGAAGAGAAAGAAAAAGGAGAAACAGACAAACAUUAUCUUUUCUUCCUCAAAUGAAUCUGGUGAGGAAUCAGAAGAAAAAAAUAAAUUAUCAAAAAGUCAGUUGUUAUUAAAGGUCAGCAUCCUUGAAGCUGAAGUUAAGAGACUUUGUAAUGACUUGAAACUUUAUAAGACUAUGCAUGUUAUCG
This is a long non-coding RNA of Wasmannia auropunctata (little fire ant), 534 nucleotides long. RefSeq lists it as uncharacterized. NCBI's taxonomy places the organism in Eukaryota, Metazoa, Arthropoda, Insecta, Hymenoptera, Formicidae. The transcript has 3 exons. The record is from RefSeq and is a predicted model, not a curated record.